This 478-nucleotide ribosomal RNA is filed under the name uncultured bacterium. RNAcentral's name for it is "bacterial SSU rRNA". It matches the Rfam family "Bacterial small subunit ribosomal RNA", at positions 24 to 518 of the family's 1533-position model. The record is from RNAcentral.
ACAGGACGAACGCUGGCGGCAUGCCUAACACAUGCAAGUCGAACGGAGUCGAGGGGCUUGCUCCUUGAACUUAGUGGCGGACGGGUGAGUAACGCGUGAGUAACCUGCCUUUCAGUGGGGAAUAAUAUCUGAAAAGAGUACUAAUACCGCAUAACGUAUAGAAACCGCAUGAUUUUUAUACCAAAGAUUUAUCGCUGAGAGAUGGACUCGCGUCCGAUUAGCCAGUUGGUGAGGUAACGGCUCACCAAAGCAACGAUCGGUAGCCGGACUGAGAGGUUGAACGGCCACAUUGGGACUGAGACACGGCCCAGACUCCUACGGGAGGCAGCAGUGGGGGAUAUUGUGCAAUGGGGGAAACCCUGACACAGCCAAUGCCGCGUGAAGGAUGAAGGUCUUCGGAUUGUAAACUUCUUUUGUCAAGGACGAUAAUGACGGUACUUGACGAAUAAGCUCCGGCUAACUACGUGCCAGCAGCUGC